This 515-nucleotide ribosomal RNA is filed under the name uncultured bacterium. RNAcentral's name for it is "partial 16S ribosomal RNA". It matches the Rfam family "Bacterial small subunit ribosomal RNA", at positions 28 to 523 of the family's 1533-position model. The record is from RNAcentral.
GAUGAACGCUGGCGGCGUGCCUAAUACAUGCAAGUCGAGCGAAUGGAUUAAGAGCUUGCUCUUAUGAAGUUAGCGGCGGACGGGUGAGUAACACGUGGGUAACCUGCCCAUAAGACUGGGAUAACUCCGGGAAACCGGGGCUAAUACCGGAUAACAUUUUGAACCGCAUGGUUCGAAAUUGAAAGGCGGCUUCGGCUGUCACUUAUGGAUGGACCCGCGUCGCAUUAGCUAGUUGGUGAGGUAACGGCUCACCAAGGCAACGAUGCGUAGCCGAGCUGGGAGGGGGAUGGGCCACACUGGGACUGAGACACCGCCCAGACUCCUGCGGGAGGCAGCAGUAGGGACCCUUCCGCAAUGGACGAAAGUCUGACGGAGCAACGCCGCGUGAGUGAUGAAGGCUUUCGGGUCGUAAAACUCUGUUGUUAGGGAAGAACAAGUGCUAGUUGAAUAAGCUGGCACCUUGACGGUGCCUAACCGGAAAGCCACGGCUAACUACGUGCCAGCCGCCGCAGUAA